Molecule: ribosomal RNA, 570 nt
Filed under: Florarctus sp. SF-2015a
Lineage: Eukaryota; Metazoa; Tardigrada; Heterotardigrada; Arthrotardigrada; Halechiniscidae
Description: eukaryotic LSU rRNA
Rfam family: Eukaryotic large subunit ribosomal RNA
Source: RNAcentral
GUGUUUUGUAUUUAUACCCUAAAACUUAGUGAAAGCAAGCGACACAAUUCGAUUGNNNNNAAAUUGGCGUGAUCUAAUGCAUGUUGACGCAUAUUCAUGUGUGUGUGCAUGCUUAGCGCAACGCCGGCCCGUCCUAUGACUAUGUGUCUUGAGCGGAGCUAUAGUUUAUAUGUUGAGACCCGAAAGAUGGUGAACUAUGCCUGGACAGGAUGAAGUCAGGGGAAACCCUGAUAGAAGUCCGUAGCGAUUCUGACGUGCAAAUCGAUCGUCUGAUCUGGGUAUAGGGGCGAAAGACUAAUCGAACUAUCUAAUAGCUGGUUUCCUUCGAAGUUUCCCUCAGGAUAGCUGGCGCAUAUAAAAAUUUGUAUGGCAAUCUCUCCCGGUAAAGCGAAUGAUUAGAGGUCUUGGGGCCGAAACGGCUUCAACCUAUUCUCAAACUUUAAAUGUGUGAGAAGUCUGGCUUACUUAUUAUUUUUUAAUAUGAAGUCUGGACUAUAUUUUAUAAUAUAGAUGCUCAUGUGCCAAGUGGGCCAUUUUUGGUAAGCAGAACUGGCGCUGUGGGAUGAACCG